UGUUUUUUGAGAACCUAAUCAUAAAUUUUUUCUCAAGGCCCAUGUCCAGAAUGGUGUUACUGAGGUUUUUUUUUUCCCUAGGAUUCUUAUAGUUUGAGGUCUUAUAUUUAAAUCUUUAAUCCACCUUGAGUUAGUGUUUGUGUAUGGUGAAAGGAAAGGGUCCAGUUUCAUUCGAAUUCUUCCUUUCCUAUUUGGAUGCCUUUUAUAUCUUUAUAUUCCUUGAUUGCUCUGGCUAGCACUUCCAGUACUAUGUUUAAUAGGGGUGCUGAGAGAGGGCAUCCUUGUCUUGUUCCAGGGGAAUGCUUUCAGUUUUUGCCCUUUCACUUGGCUGUGUGUUUAACAUAGAUAGCUCUUAUUAUAUCAAAAGCUUUUUAUCAAAAGCAUCUACUGAGAUGAUCAUA
Molecule: long non-coding RNA, 401 nt
Filed under: Pan troglodytes (chimpanzee)
Lineage: Eukaryota; Metazoa; Chordata; Mammalia; Primates; Hominidae
Description: long non-coding RNA NONPTRT012606
Source: RNAcentral